CAAUAGCGUAUAUUAAAGUUGUUGCGGUUAAAAAGCUCGUAGUUGGAUUUCUGCUGAGAACGACCGGUCCGCCCUUUGGGUGUGUAUCUGGCUCUUUCUUGGCAUCUUCUUGGUGAACGUUGCUGCACUUGACUGUGUGGAGCGCUACCCAGGACUUUUACUUUGAGGAAAUUAGAGUGUUUCAAGCAGGCAUACGCCUUGAAUACAUUAGCAUGGAAUAAUAAGAUACGACUUUGGUCUAUUUUGUUGGUUUGCAUUCCAAAGUAAUGAUUAAUAGGGAUAGUUGGGGGUAUUCGUAUUCAAUUGUCAGAGGUGAAAUUCUUGGAUUUAUGGAAGACGAACUACUGCGAAAGCAUUUACCAAGGAUGUUUUCAUUAA
This 378-nucleotide ribosomal RNA is filed under the name uncultured eukaryote. RNAcentral's name for it is "partial 18S ribosomal RNA". It matches the Rfam family "Eukaryotic small subunit ribosomal RNA", at positions 592 to 976 of the family's 1831-position model. The record is from RNAcentral.